Molecule: ribosomal RNA, 273 nt
Filed under: uncultured bacterium
Lineage: Bacteria
Description: partial 16S ribosomal RNA
Rfam family: Bacterial small subunit ribosomal RNA
Source: RNAcentral
UACGUAGGUGGCAAGCGUUGUCCGGAUUUAUUGGGUUUAAAGGGUGCGUAGGUGGUCUAUUAAGUCAGUGCUGAAAUAUCCCGGCUUAACCGGGAGGGUGGCAUUGAUACUGAUGGACUUGAGUGGAGUCGAGGUAGGCGGAAUUGACGGUGUAGCGGUGAAAUGCUUAGAUAUCGUCAAGAACACCGAUAGUGUAGACAGCUUACUAGGCUCUAACUGACACUGAGGCACGAAAGUGUGGGGAUCAAACAGGAUUAGAAACCCCCGUAGUCC